This 21-nucleotide microRNA is filed under the name Caenorhabditis remanei. RNAcentral describes it as "crm-miR-7600". Lineage: Eukaryota; Metazoa; Nematoda; Chromadorea; Rhabditida; Rhabditidae. The record is from miRBase by way of RNAcentral.
UAUACUUGACGUGAUUUCGGC